UGGACGAACGCUGGCGGCGUGCCUAAUACAUGCAAGUAGAACGCUGAAGAGAGGAGCUUGCUCUUCUUGGAUGAGUUGCGAACGGGUGAGUAACGCGUAGGUAACCUGCCUUGUAGCGGGGGAUAACUAUUGGAAACGAUAGCUAAUACCGCAUAACAAUGGAUGACACAUGUCAUUUAUUUGAAAGGGGCAAUUGUUCCACUACAAGAUGGACCUGCGUUGUAUUAGCUAGUAGGUGAGGUAAUGGCUCACCUAGGCGACGAUACAUAGCCGACCUGAGAGGGUGAUCGGCCACACUGGGACUGAGACACGGCCCAGACUCCUACGGGAGGCAGCAGUAGGGAAUCUUCGGCAAUGGGGGCAACCCUGACCGAGCAACGCCGCGUGAGUGAAGAAGGUUUUCGGAUCGCAAAGCUCUGUUGUAAGUCAAGAACGGGUGUGAGAGUGGAAAGUUCACACUAUGACGGUAGCUUACCAGAAAGGGACGGCUAACUACGUGCCAGCAGCCGCGGUAAUACGUAGGUCCCGAGCGUUGUCCGGAUUUAUUGGGCGUAAAGCGAGCGCAGGCGGUUUGAUAAGUCUGAAGUUAAAGGCUGUGGCUCAACCAUAGUUCGCUUUGGAAACUGUCAAACUUGAGUGCAGAAGGGGAGAGUGGAAUUCCAUGUGUAGCGGUGAAAUGCGUAGAUAUAUGGAGGAACACCGGUGGCGAAAGCGGCUCUCUGGUCUGUAACUGACGCUGAGGCUCGAAAGCGUGGGGAGCGAACAGGAUUAGAUACCCUGGUAGUCCACGCCGUAAACGAUGAGUGCUAGGUGUUGGAUCCUUUCCGGGAUUCAGUGCCGCAGCUAACGCAUUAAGCACUCCGCCUGGGGAGUACGACCGCAAGGUUGAAACUCAAAGGAAUUGACGGGGGCCCGCACAAGCGGUGGAGCAUGUGGUUUAAUUCGAAGCAACGCGAAGAACCUUACCAGGUCUUGACAUCCCGAUGCUAUUUCUAGAGAUAGAAAGUUACUUCGGUACAUCGGUGACAGGUGGUGCAUGGUUGUCGUCAGCUCGUGUCGUGAGAUGUUGGGUUAAGUCCCGCAACGAGCGCAACCCCUAUUGUUAGUUGCCAUCAUUCAGUUGGGCACUCUAGCGAGACUGCCGGUAAUAAACCGGAGGAAGGUGGGGAUGACGUCAAAUCAUCAUGCCCCUUAUGACCUGGGCUACACACGUGCUACAAUGGUUGGUACAACGAGUUGCGAGUCGGUGACGGCGAGCUAAUCUCUUAAAGCCAAUCUCAGUUCGGAUUGUAGGCUGCAACUCGCCUACAUGAAGUCGGAAUCGCUAGUAAUCGCGGAUCAGCACGCCGCGGUGAAUACGUUCCCGGGCCUUGUACACACCGCCCGUCACACCACGAGAGUUUGUAACACCCGAAGUCGGAGAGGUAACCUUUUGGAGCCAGCCGCCUAAGGUGGGAC
RNAcentral lists this ribosomal RNA (1458 nucleotides) under uncultured organism. Its description in RNAcentral is "SSU rRNA". It matches the Rfam family "Bacterial small subunit ribosomal RNA". The record is from RNAcentral.